UCAUCAUCAAACAAGAGGAGGCCUGUCAGU
RNAcentral lists this non-coding RNA (30 nucleotides) under Bos taurus (domestic cattle). Lineage: Eukaryota; Metazoa; Chordata; Mammalia; Artiodactyla; Bovidae. RNAcentral also lists the same sequence under 1 other name. The record is from RNAcentral.